GUAUUAACCCUGCCUUCUGGAAUAUCAAAGUUAGCUGGCUGAUGUAUUAACCCUGCCUUCUGGAAUAUCAAAGUUAGCUGGCGGAUGUAUUAACCCUGCCUUCUGGAAUACCCCACAGCUCUUAUGGUGUCUAAAGGCCAGUGGGUUUACUGAUACUGUCUGUUAGCUCAAAUGACUCCCCUGUUCCCUAUAUAGUGCACUAUUGGCCAUAAGUAGUGCACUACACUUUAUAGUAGUGCAUGUGGUGGUGUUGGAGAAACACUGGCUCAGGGUUUCUUGGAUCUAUAUCAUACAAAUACAGGUCAAUACAUAUUGGAUGAUGAUGAACAAACCAACCUGUAAUGGCAUCUGUGUUUGGGAGAGAUGUAGGUAGGGCUUCAUUUUGGGACGACUAUUUAUUUUUAUUGUCUGAGAUUUGUGUAUUAACUGAUUGAACUCCUCAAUGUGUACAAUGUCAUAUUUCGCCUGCCUGGUUUGGCCUUUGAGGUUUGAUAGUACAAUGUUGUGAUUAUAAUUUAUUUUCUUUUUUAACUGGAAGUCAUGGGUUUUGGGUGGAUAUUGGUUGGGACGCUAAUGUUGUUGAAAGAUUUUCUGGAAGUCUGAGAUGCUUUUUGCUUUGUUGGAGAGGGAAAUUUGUAGUGACGGUGUCAAUAGAGGAUUCUCUUACAGUACCUUCAGUGUUGCCCGGUCUGAUACAAGUCUUCUUUAUUGAGCGUGAAUUGGGACAUUUGAUCUGGGUCAUGUUCAUUAGGCACCAAAUAUAGAAUAAGACGGAUUCAAACUAGGAGGGACUACCUGGACUUUGUCCAAUAAGGAACCCUUAUUUUCACUUUCCGUUGCAGAAUGUUUUGAAAAGUUUUUGUUGUGUACCCUAAUGGACAUGACGUUGGUUUUAAUGGGGCUGUUUUUAGAGGAAGUGUUAAUGGGGAAUGUGUGUGAAUGGUUUUGUGGUAAGUUUUAAAGAGAUGGGUGUAUUUUUUUGAAAAAGAAAUUAUACAUGAAAUGACAGAUUUACCGGAAGCUUUCUGCUGAGGUUUUCAAGAUGGCUUUUUUUUACUCUUUUUAUAUUAUCUGUGCUGGUUAUGUUAUUCCACUGCUUUUAAAAAAAACUUUGGCCCCUGUCUUUUCUCUCUGUUACCGGAAGGUUUUCAGCCAAUCAAGGCCCAACACAUUUUUAUUUUUUUUAAGUGUCAUUUUGAAAAGCUGAAGGGUCAUCUGGCCAUUAGUGGUUGAUACACACUGAGUCUUGCUGGAAACAGUUUUGCUAAUGUGCGAUCAUCUUUAUGAUGUGAGUCAGUUCUAGAUUACAUGAUACAACAUGUGGGCAUUAUCUUUUAAUCUCCCUUAUUAUUUUUGUGUUACGUGUGUCUCUUGUAUGUUGAAAGUCUUUGGUUUUGUCAGCCAAUGUUGACCAUGGUUUUAAAUGUUUACACAUCAACUGUACAGUACUACUAGUUUUUCAGUUUAUUUUUGUUCAGUCUAUCUGUGAAUAACAACAGCAUGGGUAUGUGUCCCAAAUGGCACCCUAUUCCCUAUAUAGAAUAUUCUAUAUGGCACCUUAUUCCAAAAUGGCACUAUUCCCUAUCUACUUUAGAACAGGGCCCUAUUCCCUAUAUAGUGUACUAUUUUUGAGCAGAGCUCUGUGCCCUGGUCAGAAGUAGUGCAUUACAUUUUG
This 1675-nucleotide long non-coding RNA is filed under the name Salmo salar (Atlantic salmon). Its description in RNAcentral is "lncRNA (ENSSSAG00000095935.1)". Lineage: Eukaryota; Metazoa; Chordata; Actinopteri; Salmoniformes; Salmonidae. The record is from RNAcentral.